RNAcentral lists this transfer RNA (63 nucleotides) under Cladotaenia vulturi. RNAcentral's name for it is "tRNA-Met". The record is from RNAcentral. Lineage: Eukaryota; Metazoa; Platyhelminthes; Cestoda; Cyclophyllidea; Paruterinidae.
AAACUAGUAAGUUAAAUAAACUGUGGGGUUCAUGUCUCCGUUAUACACGUUGUGUCUAGUUGA